AACUGAGAUACUAUUCGCAAUACCAUCAACUGACGGUGCAGUAGUAGUAUUAGAAAUGCUUGGUUGCGUGUUAGGCGUAAGCUUUGUAUCUGCUAAUAUUUACAUUAGUUUUAGGUGCUGCUUGAGCAAUAACUCUACUUUUGAAGGAUCCGUGUUUGCUCCGACUCCGUCGCCAAACUAUCUAGGUUUGAAGCGGUUACGAGUCCGAGUUUCGAAGACGAUCAGAUACUGUCGUAGUUCUGACCAUAAACAAUGCCACCUGACGAUCCGCGUUGGUUGUAUAAUUGACAUCGCGGGCAGUCCCCGGGAAACCUUUAAGUCUUUGGGCUCCGGAGGGAGUAUGGUUGCAAAGCUGAAACUUAAAGGAAUUGACGGAAGGGCACCACCAGGAGUGGAGCCUGCGGUUUAAUUCGACUCAACACGGGAAAACUCACCCGGCCCGGACACUGUGAAGAUUGACAGAUUGAUAGCUCUUGCUUGAUUCGGUGGGUGGUGGUGCAUGGGCGUUCUUAGUCGGUGGAGCGAUUUGUCUGGUUAAUGCCGAUAACGAACGAGACUCCUACAAUGGCGGUGCCAACGAGUCUGGGAACCUGGCCCGAAAGGGUUGGGCAAACUGUUUCAUCACCGUCAUGACUGGGAUCUGGGCUUGCAAUUAUUCCCCGUGAACGAGGAAUUCCUGGUAAGUGCAAGUCAUAAGCUUGCGCUGAUUACGUCCCUACCCUUUGUACACACCGCCCGUCGCUACUACCGAUUGAAUGGUUUAGUGAGGUCGUUGCCGCUCGACUGAUGCUGAGAUGACCUAAUUUGACUAUUUAGAGGAAGUAAAAGUCGUAACAAGGUUUCCGUAGGUGAACCUGCGGAAGGAUCAUUA
Molecule: non-coding RNA, 871 nt
Organism: Schistosoma haematobium
Lineage: Eukaryota; Metazoa; Platyhelminthes; Trematoda; Strigeidida; Schistosomatidae
Source: Rfam